UAGGGAAUCUUCCACAAUGGACGCAAGUCUGAUGGAGCAACGCCGCGUGAGUGAAGAAGGUUUUCGGACCGUAAAGCUCUGUUGUUGGUGAAGAAGGAUAGAGGUAGUAACUGGCCUUUAUUUGACGGUAAUCAACCAGAAAGUCACGGCUAACUACGUGCCAGCAGCCGCGGUAAUACGUAGGUGGCAAGCGUUGUCCGGAUUUAUUGGGCGUAAAGCGAGCGCAGGCGGAAGAAUAAGUCUGAUGUGAAAGCCCUCGGCUUAACCGAGGAAUUGCAUCGGAAACUGUUUUCUUGAGUGCAGAAGAGGAGAGUAGAACUCCAUGUGUAGCGGUGGAAUGCGUAGAUAUAUGGAAGAAUACCAGUGGCGAAGGCGGCUCUCUGGUCUGCAACUGACGCUGAGGCUCGAAAGCAUGGGUAGUGAACAGGAUUAGAUACCCUGGUAGUCCAUGCCGUAAACGAUGAGUGCUAAGUGUUGGG
This 479-nucleotide ribosomal RNA is filed under the name uncultured bacterium. Its description in RNAcentral is "partial 16S ribosomal RNA". It matches the Rfam family "Bacterial small subunit ribosomal RNA", at positions 355 to 827 of the family's 1533-position model. The record is from RNAcentral.